AGCGAACGCUGGCGGCAGGCUUAACACAUGCAAGUCGAGCGCCCGUAGCAAUACGGGAGCGGCAGACGGGUGAGUAACACGUGGGAACGUGCCUUUUGGUUCGGAACAACUGAGGGAAACUUCAGCUAAUACCGGAUAAGCCCUUACGGGGAAAGAUUUAUCGCCAAAAGAUCGGCCCGCGUCUGAUUAGCUAGUUGGUGGGGUAAGUGGCCCACCAAGGCUACGAUCAGUAGCUGGUCUGAGAGGAUGAUCAGCCACACUGGGACCGAGACACGGCCCAGACUCCUACGGGAGGCAGCAGUGGGGAAUCUUGGACAAUGGGCGCAAGCCUGAUCCAGCCAUGCCGCGUGAGUGAUGAAGGCCUUAGGGUUGUAAAGCUCUUUCAGCGGGGGAAGAUAAUGACGGUACCCGCAGAAGAAGCCCCGGCUAACUUCGUGCCAGCCGCCGCCGUAAU
This 454-nucleotide ribosomal RNA is filed under the name uncultured bacterium. RNAcentral describes it as "bacterial SSU rRNA". It matches the Rfam family "Bacterial small subunit ribosomal RNA", at positions 29 to 524 of the family's 1533-position model. The record is from RNAcentral.